Molecule: long non-coding RNA, 428 nt
Filed under: Androctonus crassicauda
Lineage: Eukaryota; Metazoa; Arthropoda; Arachnida; Scorpiones; Buthidae
Source: RNAcentral
GGCAAUUCCCUGCUUACAUAGAUUUGACAUGCCUAGAUCUGUACUUAUGUAAGAUUAUUUUUAGGCAACAAGCUGGACCCAAAUCUAGGCUCCUCUAGAAAAACUAGAAGUGUGAGACUCUGAUUUAAAUCUGGAUCCUCCAAGAUGGUAAGCAACUGCUUUAUUAUAUGACUUGUGCUUAUUCAAUUUCCCAAGUAGAACUAGACCCAUUCAUAUUAAAACAUAGGAAAAAAACUAUAGGAAAAAGGAUAAUGUUUACAAGAAGGAGCAUAGUGUUCAAUUGUUUGAAGAAUGAUAAAGAUCUGAUAUACAAAAAUCAAGUCCCAGGUGCGUAUCAAAUCAAAUUUAAGGACAUUGAUUUACAACAAGAACAACUUUAUAUAGAGUACACAUCAUGCACACUUCCUAAAAGAAUUUCAGAACAUAAA